This 436-nucleotide ribosomal RNA is filed under the name uncultured bacterium. RNAcentral's name for it is "bacterial SSU rRNA". It matches the Rfam family "Bacterial small subunit ribosomal RNA", at positions 958 to 1393 of the family's 1533-position model. The record is from RNAcentral.
AACGCGAAGAACCUUACCAAGUCUUGACAUCCCCCUGACCGGAACUUAACCGUUCCUUUCCUUCGGGACAGGGGAGACAGGUGGUGCAUGGUUGUCGUCAGCUCGUGUCGUGAGAUGUUGGGUUAAGUCCCGCAACGAGCGCAACCCUUAUCCUUAGUAGCCAGCAAGUAGAGUUGGGCACUCUAGGGAGACUGCCAGGGAUAACCUGGAGGAAGGUGGGGAUGACGUCAAAUCAUCAUGCCCCUUAUGACUUGGGCUACACACGUGCUACAAUGGCGUAAACAAAGAGAAGCAAGACCGCGAGGUGGAGCAAAUCUCAAAAAUAACGUCUCAGUUCGGAUUGCAGGCUGCAACUCGCCUGCAUGAAGCUGGAAUCGCUAGUAAUCGCGAAUCAGAAUGUCGCGGUGAAUACGUUCCCGGGUCUUGUACACACCGG